Molecule: small nuclear RNA, 178 nt
Filed under: Carlito syrichta (Philippine tarsier)
Lineage: Eukaryota; Metazoa; Chordata; Mammalia; Primates; Tarsiidae
Description: U1 spliceosomal RNA (ENSTSYG00000036405.1)
Rfam family: U1 spliceosomal RNA
About the family: U1 is a small nuclear RNA (snRNA) component of the spliceosome (involved in pre-mRNA splicing). Its 5' end forms complementary base pairs with the 5' splice junction, thus defining the 5' donor site of an intron. There are significant differences in sequence and secondary structure between metazoan and yeast U1 snRNAs, the latter being much longer (568 nucleotides as compared to 164 nucleotides in human).
Source: Rfam by way of RNAcentral
AUACUUACCUGGUAGGGGAGAUACCAUGAUCAUGAGAGUGGUUUUCCCAGGGCAAAGCUUAUCCAUCGCACUCCGGAUAUGCUGACCCCUGCGAUUUUCCCAGAUGUGGGAAACUCGACUGCAUAAUUUGUGGUGUGGGGGACUGUGAAAAAUGUACUUCAGAUUCUGUUGCUCCUCU